Molecule: ribosomal RNA, 1576 nt
Filed under: Triticum aestivum (bread wheat)
Lineage: Eukaryota; Viridiplantae; Streptophyta; Magnoliopsida; Poales; Poaceae
Description: partial small subunit ribosomal RNA
Source: RNAcentral
GCCGUCCCGGCGACACCGUUGCUACUGAGGUACUCCUGUCAAAAGUCGUUCGCCACGAGAGGCUUACAACGCAACCUAAUCCCGCCACGCUCCGAUCGUUGAAAAAGCACACUUUGAGUAGUCGUUUUAGCUUCGACGGUACAGGAACUGCGACACCAGCUGACAAACCGCAACAACACCGGUCCAGCAGGCGCAAACGGGUAAACCCUAAACAUAGAUCCAAAAGUAAGCCAAAAGAAGAUUAAUUGGCCCGUUAAGAGAAGAAGAAUUAGUUAUUUUUCCCAUUUAGAAAACGGAGCAAUUUUUUUUGCUGACCUGUGAGACGAGAUGAGCACCUCGUACGCAGAGUCGGUCUGUCGGUGUGUGUGUGCCAGAUAAAAUGCACACCUCGCUCCCGUGAGAGGGACGCAUGCCCGGAACAGAAUAACUCCUAUAGAGCGGUGAGGUGAGCAUAGUCUUGUGCACGUGUGUGCGGCGUGUAUCUCACUAGAUCGGUCUCUCUCUACCGUCGGCCGCCGUACUCGUCCCUCCGCUCCACCUCGGACCGGCCGCGCUGCCGCGACCAGUGGCCGCCGUCGUUCCCCUAGCCGGUGCGCUAGCACCUCCUCGACCGCCCCGUGCCCCGCGCCCACGUGUGCACGCGGGCCUCGCGCCGCCUCGACCUCCUCACGGCGGCGGCCACCCUCAGGUCCCCGGAGGGCCAGUGGCAAAGGCAGACGCUGCAGAGGGACGCGCGGUCGUCCCUCGUCGAUCACCUCUGCCGGUUCGUUCAGAAGCUGCCGUUCGAGCUGUACGACCACUUGUUGCGCCGCGUCCGAGAACGGUUCCGCCGGCACCUCACGUGUAGUCUCCUUAUGUGCGUGGAGUACCGCUGGUUGGAUCUCAGCACGAAGGUGGAGUCGGUCGAGUGCGUGGGUAACGAGGAGUCCCGGAGGUAGCGGCCUCCUCCAUCGUAGCAGUUGUAUAGGAGGGAACCUCCGUGCGAACCCAAGGGGCCGGUGCGUGAAAUGCCAUAGUGUUUUCCUCCUUAGUUGGUCGAAUGUUCCUCGGAGCGAUGACUCACCCGGGUCUUGUUCUAAGCCCACUUAACACAGCGGGGCCCGCACUGGUUCUCACUGUACAAUUUGUCAGAGCGUGGCCUGUAAAAUCUCUUCCUCCACCGUUCCUAAGGCUACGCCGCCCGUCCGCUCGGUCUCCUGCACCGACGUCACCACAGCAAGGAGACGUACGGUCGUCGUAGGAAGCAGCGACCGGUCCAGUAGUGGCAGCUACCACCAGCUUGUUAAUCACGAAUCAAUUAAUUGCCAUGGAGUGGCUAUUUGAGCACACGUACAACUAGUUAAGCAUUUCAUCGUCUACCUAAACUUAAGAGAACACACUACUGGUACGUUCUAAAGGUCGGCGAUCGUUAACGGGUUAAGGUUUAUAGUUAAGUUGUCGAUACUGCCUCGGCUAUCGUAACUCUUUGCCAGAUUAGGAUCAUCCCGUUCACCCUACGUUGUUCGAAAACCAUGAGAUUGACAUACCUACAGUAACUGUGAUACUUCUUGAUACCCCUGAGUUAGCUACAACGACG